Molecule: ribosomal RNA, 559 nt
Filed under: Trichoderma citrinoviride
Lineage: Eukaryota; Fungi; Ascomycota; Sordariomycetes; Hypocreales; Hypocreaceae
Description: eukaryotic LSU rRNA
Rfam family: 5.8S ribosomal RNA (bases 191-344)
Source: RNAcentral
CUCCCAAACCCAAUGUGAACGUUACCAAACUGUUGCCUCGGCGGGAUCUCUGCCCCGGGUGCGUCGCAGCCCCGGACCAAGGCGCCCGCCGGAGGACCAACCUAAAACUCUUAUUGUAUACCCCCUCGCGGGUUUUUUUAUAAUCUGAGCCUUCUCGGCGCCUCUCGUAGGCGUUUCGAAAAUGAAUCAAAACUUUCAACAACGGAUCUCUUGGUUCUGGCAUCGAUGAAGAACGCAGCGAAAUGCGAUAAGUAAUGUGAAUUGCAGAAUUCAGUGAAUCAUCGAAUCUUUGAACGCACAUUGCGCCCGCCAGUAUUCUGGCGGGCAUGCCUGUCCGAGCGUCAUUUCAACCCUCGAACCCCUCCGGGGGGUCGGCGUUGGGGAUCGGCCCUCCCUUAGCGGGGUGGCCGUCUCCGAAAUACAGUGGCGGUCUCGCCGCAGCCUCUCCUGCGCAGUAGUUUGCACACUCGCAUCGGGAGCGCGGCGCGUCCACAGCCGUUAAACACCCAACUUCUGAAAUGUUGACCUCGGAUCAGGUAGGAAUACCCGCUGAACUUAA